UAUGCAGCUAGAGACAUGAGCUCUGGGG
Molecule: non-coding RNA, 28 nt
Filed under: Mus musculus (house mouse)
Lineage: Eukaryota; Metazoa; Chordata; Mammalia; Rodentia; Muridae
Source: RNAcentral